RNAcentral lists this long non-coding RNA (425 nucleotides) under Cricetulus griseus (Chinese hamster). RNAcentral's name for it is "lncRNA (ENSCGRG00015031541.1)". Lineage: Eukaryota; Metazoa; Chordata; Mammalia; Rodentia; Cricetidae. The record is from RNAcentral.
CUUGGACUCACAGCGACUAUAUACCUCUUAAUUCUGAGUCCUAGGAUUAAAGGCCAUUCCAGAUACCAGUAAAAUUCCUUUCCUGUCUAUCUCUGAGAGUUCGGACUUUACAAGAGGCAUUCAUUCUCCAGCCUCAUUGAGGAGAGGAAGGUAUUGAUUCUCCAGCCAUGCUGAGGAGAAGCAGCAGUCUGAUGCUUGGUGGAGAGCUCGUGGAGACAGCAUCAGCCCUUUCAUCUGGGUAGUGCACGAUCUGGUGGACAAGAAACUCCAGCAAUACAUGCCCAUCUGUAACUCUAAUUGGGAAGGUUAUGACUUGCUCUUCUGGCCUUCUUGACUACCAUCCAUGAAGGUAAUGUACAGAUGUACUGUCCUGGCUGUUUUUAUGUCAACAUUACACAAGCUAGAGUCAUCAGAGAGUAGAGAGC